This 22-nucleotide small nuclear RNA is filed under the name Arabidopsis thaliana (thale cress). Its description in RNAcentral is "snRNA_05333". The record is from RNAcentral. Lineage: Eukaryota; Viridiplantae; Streptophyta; Magnoliopsida; Brassicales; Brassicaceae.
AAAUGUCACCCAAAGAGAGUGC